RNAcentral lists this ribosomal RNA (838 nucleotides) under Hapsidospora flava. RNAcentral describes it as "eukaryotic LSU rRNA". It matches the Rfam family "Eukaryotic large subunit ribosomal RNA", at positions 63 to 934 of the family's 3401-position model. The record is from RNAcentral. Lineage: Eukaryota; Fungi; Ascomycota; Sordariomycetes; Hypocreales; Bionectriaceae.
AAACAACAGGGAUUGCUCAGUAACGGCGAGUGAAGCGGCAACAGCUCAAAUUUGAAAUCUGGCCCCCCGGCCCGAGUUGUAAUUUGCAGAGGAUGCUUCUGGCGACGCGCCUUCCGAGUUCCCUGGAACGGGACGCCACAGAGGGUGAGAGCCCCGUCCGGUCGUGCGCCUAGCCUGUGUGAAGCUCCUUCGACGAGUCGAGUAGUUUGGGAAUGCUGCUCUAAAUGGGAGGUAUACGUCUUCUAAAGCUAAAUACCGGCCAGAGACCGAUAGCGCACAAGUAGAGUGAUCGAAAGAUGAAAAGCACUUUGAAAAGAGGGUUAAAUAGUACGUGAAAUUGCUGAAAGGGAAGCGCUUAUGACCAGACUUGGGCCCGGUGAAUCACCCAGCGUUCUCGCUGGUGCACUUUGCCGGCCCAGGCCAGCAUCAGUUCGCGCCGGGGGAUAAAGGCUUCGGGAAUGUAGCUCCCUCGGGAGUGUUAUAGACCGUUGCGCAAUACCCUGGGGCGGACUGAGGUACGCGUUCUGCAAGGAUGCUGGCGUAAUGGUCAUCAGUGACCCGUCUUGAAACACGGACCCAAGGAGUCGUCUUUGUAUGCGAGUGUUCGGGUGUCAAACCCCUACGCGUAAUGAAAGUGAACGUAGGAGAGAGCUUCGGCGCAUCUCCGACCGAUCCUGAUGUUCUCGGAUGGAUUUGAGUAAGAGCAUACAGGGCCGGACCCGAAAGAAGGUGAACUAUGCCUGUAUAGGGUGAAGCCAGAGGAAACUCUGGUGGAGGCUCGCAGCGGUUCUGACGUGCAAAUCGAUCGUCAAAUAUGGGCAUGGGGGCGAAAGACUAA